AUGACGGAAAGGGCUCGAGGUGGCCGCCGAAGACCAAGCCGUUCACGCAAGCCCUGGACACGAUCCUCCCGACGCAUGCACUCCUCGCGUCCUCGCGCACCAAGGUUAGGCGGCAGAUCUCCACGUCUGCGACGCGCUCGUGGUCGUCAAGGAAGGGGCUCCCGAUCGAAUCUGCGUUCACGCGGCUUGUGUGCCAUGGCCGCCAUGGCAAUCCAUGGCCGACAAGAGGGGACCCUCGGUCUCCAUCACCCACCCCAGGCCGGUUUCUACAGUAAGGGCUAUGGGGCUGGGCAGGUUAGGCGGAUGGACAGUGUGGGAGCUCCACGACCUGAAGGAGUGGGUGGUGUGAGAGCUGUGGGAGGCCGCCAAGGCCCUCACCGUGCGCCGCGCCGCCGUCAGGACGUACGCUUUGUGGUGGCGCUGGACAGGGACGUCCGCCACCCUUCCUCAAGCCCACCAUGGGGGUUCUUCUCGGCUGCCUCGGAGGCUCGGGCACAACACUACUUUCAUGGACUUUCCCCUCCUGCUCUUUGA
RNAcentral lists this ribosomal RNA (534 nucleotides) under Triticum aestivum (bread wheat). RNAcentral describes it as "partial small subunit ribosomal RNA". Lineage: Eukaryota; Viridiplantae; Streptophyta; Magnoliopsida; Poales; Poaceae. The record is from RNAcentral.